AAAAUACUAGUAAAAUUGAACAUUACAUUGCUUUGUCAAGGCAAAAUUGCAGGUUGAAAUCCUGCGUAUUUUA
RNAcentral lists this transfer RNA (73 nucleotides) under Brycon nattereri. Its description in RNAcentral is "tRNA-Asp". It matches the Rfam family "tRNA". Rfam says of the family: Transfer RNA (tRNA) molecules are approximately 80 nucleotides in length. The record is from RNAcentral. Lineage: Eukaryota; Metazoa; Chordata; Actinopteri; Characiformes; Bryconidae.